Molecule: long non-coding RNA, 1652 nt
Filed under: Canis lupus familiaris (dog)
Lineage: Eukaryota; Metazoa; Chordata; Mammalia; Carnivora; Canidae
Description: lncRNA (ENSCAFG00000053387.1)
Source: RNAcentral
UUUGUUUUUGUUUUGAGCCCAGCUCCUGUGUCAGACACUGCACUAGGUUCGGUUCAGGGGAUUCCUGUCGCUGAGAAGUUCCUACUGAGUCACUCUCUAAAAACUAGGAAGAUGCAGGUUUUUAUGUAAACCACUACUCACUACCUGCAUGUGAUUUUGGAGUGCUCUGCUGUAAGGACAUUCUCCUGCCAGUUCUAAAAUGAGAGGAACUGCUCCAACAACAAGGAGAUGCUCAGGAAUGCGGAUGCUUAGGAAGGAGCACAGUCUCCCCAGAGCAGAGCCUCUGCUGGUGUGAGCCUACACUCAACGAUGCAAAGCAACGGGAAAGAGGCGAGCUUCUGAGGAGUAGUGGGAAAACAGCAGCUAACAGGGCGCCUUGUGAAGCAAGUGACUGCAUUCAGUGAGUGUGGGGGGCUAUUGGUUGGCUUGCUUGCUUUUGCCUUUAUUCUCUGUCCAAAACCGAAUGCUGUAAGUCUUUGCUUAGCUGAGGCUAGUCACAGAAAACAGAAAACCAGUGAUUUGCUUUAACUAUGUCAUCUUAAUGGGCUAUAAACUGACAAAAGCAAAAGGACUCCUUAACAUUCAACAGGUGAUAGCUCAGUUGGAAACAAAGAAAAAACAUUUACAUGUAAAUUCAUUUAGUAGGCCUAUAAGUAUUAUCUACUUAAAUAGAUUUUAUUCCUUAAUGGACAAGCUACAUAGUACAUAUGUUUCUAAUCCUAAAUUAAUCGAUCACUACCAAAAGAAAGAUCAUUUGGUCACUUAGUUUUGGGAGGUCUUUUUCUAAGUGUUGUGUCAUCAUCACUGAUGGGAGGGAAAUUUAACCAGACACUUCUUGAGCCUGGAAAUCAUUCAGAAUCUCUGGCCCAGUAAUCUUCUCUCUAGGAAUCCAAUUUAUAGAAAGAAUUAGAUAUACAGAAAAGAUAUAUGUACCAUAUGUUCACGAGUACUAUCAUAGCAAAAAUAAUAGUUAUAAAAUUGUGUUUUGUCAAAAGAAUUGAAUAUGGAGAAAUCAUUAAACAGCAUGUUUUCAAAGCCUCCUGUUUUGGAAAUAUAUAACAUAUAUUUAUUUAUAAUUUAUAAUAUAAUUUAUUAACAAAAAUAAAUAGGAUGUAAAACUUUAUAAUAAAAAAUGUCAUAUGUAAGAUACACAGUAUGACAUAUCUAUUACAUAUUUAAUAACACCUAUAUAUUACAUAUAUCAUAUAGAAAAACAUCUGGAAGGAAAUACACUAAAAAUACCACCAGUAGUUUUCUCUAGGUAGUGGAAUUUUGCAUGGCUUUUAUUUUCUUAAUACUGCUUUUCUGUUUAUUGAGGUUCCCAAAUAAGCCUGAAGAGCCACCAAGAAGAAGGAAUACGCUGGCCUGGUCAUCACGUAGUUCCUAUGACAAUGAUACAUACAACUCCAAAAUAUUUGACAUUAUUUUUAAUAUCUUAACAUAAAUAGUGGCAAAAAAAAAAAAAGAAAAACCACAAUGAUGAAAACUUUGGCAAGUACGGAAAAGUAAAAAUAUUGGGGAAAGAAUCCCACCAGUCAGAGGGAAAUGUGAUUAAUAUCCCGUGACUAAGUCAGUAGCUUUGAGCUGUGCCAUCAAAAGACCUCAGGAGCUGUCCCCGUGGAAGGUAGGGACUGACUAGGUCCUCCUAUCCA